GAUGAACGCUGGCGGCGUGCCUAAUACAUGCAAGUCGAGCGAACAGAUGAGGAGCUUGCUCCUCUGACGUUAGCGGCGGACGGGUGAGUAACACGUGGAUAACCUACCUAUAAGACUGGGAUAACUUCGGGAAACCGGAGCUAAUACCGGAUAAUAUAUUGAACCGCAUGGUUCAAUAGUGAAAGACGGUUUUGCUGUCACUUAUAGAUGGAUCCGCGCCGCAUUAGCUAGUUGGUAAGGUAACGGCUUACCAAGGCGACGAUGCGUAGCCGACCUGAGAGGGUGAUCGGCCACACUGGAACUGAGACACGGUCCAGACUCCUACGGGAGGCAGCAGUAGGGAAUCUUCCGCAAUGGGAGAAAGCUUGACGGAGCAAAGCCGCGUGAGUGAUGAAGGUCUUCGGAUCGUAAAACUCUGUUAUUAGGGAAGAACAAAUGUGUAAGUAACUAUGCACGUCUUGACGGUACCUAAUCAGAAAGCCACGGCUAACUACGUG
RNAcentral lists this ribosomal RNA (497 nucleotides) under uncultured bacterium. RNAcentral's name for it is "partial 16S ribosomal RNA". It matches the Rfam family "Bacterial small subunit ribosomal RNA", at positions 28 to 507 of the family's 1533-position model. The record is from RNAcentral.